This 75-nucleotide transfer RNA is filed under the name Staphylococcus aureus. RNAcentral describes it as "tRNA-Met(cat)". It matches the Rfam family "tRNA". From Rfam's summary of the family: Transfer RNA (tRNA) molecules are approximately 80 nucleotides in length. Their secondary structure includes four short double-helical elements and three loops (D, anti-codon, and T loops). The record is from RNAcentral. Lineage: Bacteria; Bacillati; Bacillota; Bacilli; Caryophanales; Staphylococcaceae.
GGCGGUGUAGCUCAGCUGGCUAGAGCGUACGGUUCAUACCCGUGAGGUCGCGGGUUCGAUCCCCUCCACCGCCAC